Molecule: signal recognition particle RNA, 299 nt
Filed under: Aotus nancymaae (Ma's night monkey)
Lineage: Eukaryota; Metazoa; Chordata; Mammalia; Primates; Aotidae
Description: Metazoan signal recognition particle RNA (ENSANAG00000012128.1)
Rfam family: Metazoan signal recognition particle RNA
About the family: The signal recognition particle (SRP) is a universally conserved ribonucleoprotein. It is involved in the co-translational targeting of proteins to membranes.
Source: RNAcentral
ACCGGGUGCAAUGGCACGUGCCUGUAGUCCCAGCUACUCGGGAGGCUGAGGUGGGAGGAUCGCUUGAGCCCAGGAGUUCUUGGCUGUAGUGAGCUAUGCCAAUUGGGUGUCUGCACUAAGUUCAGCAUCAAUAUGGUGACCUCCCGGGAGCGGGGGACCACCAGGUUGCCUAAGGAGGGGUGAACCGACCCAGGUCGGAAACGGAGCAGGUCAAAACUCCCGUGCUGAUCAGUAGUGGGAUCGCACCUGUGAAUAGCCACUGCACUCCAGCCUGGGCAACAUAGCGAGACCCUGUCUCU